RNAcentral lists this ribosomal RNA (500 nucleotides) under uncultured bacterium. RNAcentral's name for it is "partial 16S ribosomal RNA". It matches the Rfam family "Bacterial small subunit ribosomal RNA", at positions 30 to 523 of the family's 1533-position model. The record is from RNAcentral.
AUUGAACGCUGGCGGCAUGCUUUACACAUGCAAGUCGAACGGUAACAGGGUGCUUGCACCGCUGACGAGUGGCGAACGGGUGAGUAAUGCGUCGGAACGUGCCGAGUAGUGGGGGAUAACGCAGCGAAAGUUGUGCUAAUACCGCAUACGUACUGAGGUAGAAAGUGGGGGACCUUCGGGCCUCACGCUAUUCGAGCGGCCGACGUCUGAUUAGCUAGUAGGUGAGGUAAAGGCUCACCUAGGCGACGAUCAGUAGCGGCUCUGGGAGGAUGAUCCGCCACACUGGGACUGAGACACGGCCCAGACUCCUACGGGAGGCAGCAGUGGGGAAUUUUGGACAAUGGGCGAAAGCCUGAUCCAGCCAUGCCGCGUGUCUGAAGAAGGCCUUCGGGUUGUAAAGGACUUUUGUCAGGGAGGAAAUCCCUAGUGCUAAUAACACUGGGGGAUGACAGUACCUGAAGAAUAAGCACCGGCUAACUACGUGCCAGCCGCCGCAGUAA